Non-coding RNA from Sorex araneus (European shrew), 477 nucleotides. Lineage: Eukaryota; Metazoa; Chordata; Mammalia; Eulipotyphla; Soricidae. The record is from the annotation of a RefSeq genome assembly.
AUGGCCUGGCCUCCUGUUCUGCUCCUCUUCCUGCUAGCUCAGUACCCAGGCUCCUGGGCGCAGACUGGAUUGACGCAGGAACUAUCAGUGUCAGGGUCUGUGGGACAGACAGUCACCCUCUCCUGCACAGGAAAUAGCCACAAUGUCGGUGACAAAGGUGCAGGCUGGUACCGACAGAUUCCUGGUGCUGCCCCGAAAGCUGUGAUGUAUAGAAGUAGUCGACCUACAGGAAUCCCAGCUCGGUUCACUGCUACAAAAUCUGGAAACAGGGCCUAUCUGACCGUCUCAGGUGUGCAGCCUCAGGAUGAGGCUGAUUAUUACUGUGCUUCAUGGGACAACAGUAUCAGCAAUACCACAGUGCUUCAGACUCAAGGAGAAAUAAGACAAAAACACAGCCCUGUUCUAAGUGACCCCUCCCCCCAUGCCAGCCUGUGCCAGAUAGACAGGCAACAGAGCUGUGGAGAUUAUUCUGUCUGA